RNAcentral lists this unclassified non-coding RNA (271 nucleotides) under fungal sp. RNAcentral's name for it is "partial internal transcribed spacer region". The stretch from base 1 to 46 matches the Rfam family "Eukaryotic small subunit ribosomal RNA", at positions 1786 to 1831 of the family's 1831-position model. Lineage: Eukaryota; Fungi. The record is from RNAcentral.
AAGUCGUAACAAGGUUUCCGUAGGUGAACCUGCGGAAGGAUCAUCAGUGAACUAUCACUAUUUUACACACCCCUUUUGUGCAAAUUGGCGGCCUGAAAGUGUUUUUUGUUUUUUGCGCUCUUCUUUUUGAGGGGUCGCAAAAACAACAGCACUCUAGGUGCCGCCCAUUUUUUUUACAACAAAAACAACCCCUUUUAUCCCCUUUUAUUCAAAAACAUACCCAAUACAAAAAAACUAAAGACAACUUUUAACAACGGAUCUCUUGGCUCUC